Long non-coding RNA from Falco tinnunculus (common kestrel), 1622 nucleotides. The record is from Ensembl. Lineage: Eukaryota; Metazoa; Chordata; Aves; Falconiformes; Falconidae.
AAUUCCCAGAGUAGCUGAGAGCAAUGAAUGUAUUUUUCAUAAUUUCAGUUAACAUGUUUUCAAUCAGUAUCUAUUAUAACAAUCAGUAGUAAUGUGAAACUAAAUAAUGUGGCCUAAUGAUGAAGUUCUUCCCCAUGUUCAGGAUUAGUGCAGGCUCUAUUGUUAAGGUGUAAAUGGUACAUAAACUUUGUACAAAGUUCUCGAUAUGGAGGAUUUUGAUCCUUACAAAACCAGAUUUUCUUUCUUUUGUACUCAAGUGGCUUGCUUGUUUGGUAAUCUGACUUCAGCCUGCAAGAUGCUUAGAUUAAACAUUGUAGGACGCAUUGUAAGAUACUUAUAGAUAUUUUUUACCAAAAAAAAAAAGCCUCCUAAACCCAGCAAUGCAAGUAUUUUGACUAAAACAAUGUAGAUUAUGGAGAACGGAGAAUUCAGAAGACAGACUACAGUUAAUGGUGACUCACAUACGCAUAGAUAAGGUGCACAUCCUUGUAUGUGUAUUUAAAAAUAUUGUCAACUGCCAGGAUUUGCAAAUGCAAUACUUUUUGUCUGUCUCCUCUUUCCCCGUCCCCCAGGCAGAGGAGAAAGUGGCAAGAGUAUGUUCAUUACACAAACGAGGAUUUCACGGAUCAGGUUACAGAGAAGAAGUCUGAAAAGUCUUCACAAAACUGGCUUUCCAAAACAUAUUCACUGCCAUGCAAGUGAUGAUCAGAGCCAUGAAUACUCUUUAAGAUACGGUACACAUCCAAAGAGAAUGAGGAACAAAAUACAAAGACUUGAUAAACAGCAAACUUCGUCUCAUUCUGGGCUCUGAGCUGAGCUGGAUACAUUCCCGUAACACACUAUUCUGGUUAAAUUGUGCUCUUGAUUGAUUGCUGUGCUGCCAAUGUCUUCAGAUUCAGAAGAUUAUAAUGCUAUUUUUCAGUUGUUGGAGAGAGGCAGAAUUUGGUCUUGUGCUUCUUUAUGAAUGUUAACAAACUGCUAAGUGAUAAGAAAAUCAUUUGGCAGGCUCAGUUUCAGUGGCAUUUAGAAAGCAAAGUUAUUUUUGUUUACACAGGGAGAAACUCUUGAGAGACAACGUGAAAAUAACCACGCAUUGCUCCAGUCACUUUGUAGGAGAAACUGCAUUUUAAUCUUUCAUUUAGGCAAUGGAUACAAUGCAAAGUACUAUAAAUCUUGUAAUUGCCUUUCAUUAAAAGAUUUGAAGCCUGUAAUGAAACAACAUGUUGACAACAGUGCAAAAACAGAAGGGUUGUGAUUCUGCUGUCAUAAUUGUAUUGCAAAGCUGUGUCCAGUGACCAUGCAGGAAUUGUCCAUCGUGCUCCUAUGCAUUUCAGUAUGUCCAUGUUCUCCAUGGCAUGCCUUCUUUUCCCUGAAAAAUGUGUUUCCUUCUGGCCCUUUUAGUAUGGUUUGUUUGUUUGUUUGUUUUUCUUGUAUGCAGUCUGUGCUUUGACCAGGUCAGGUUGUCUCCUCUGUGGGCCCUGGAAUUCUUUGGCUGCUGUAUAUCUUCAUGUAAUGUUUUUGUGGUGGAGAACAGAUUGUUCUGCACCAAGUGUCUCUUCCCUGUAAUGUGACGUGUAUGAAAAUCUGUAACUCAUAUAUCAACAGAAUGUUUGCAAAUAAAA